ACGAACCGAGCGAACGUUGUUCGGAAUCACUGGGCUUAAAGGGCGCGUAGGCGGGCCGCCGCGUCCGGGGUGAAAUCCUCCCGCUCAACGGGAGAACGGCCUCGGAUACGGGCGGUCUGGAGGGGGGUAGGGGCGUGCGGAACUGUGGGUGGAGCGGUGAAAUGCGUUGAUAUCCACAGGAACUCCGGUGGCGAAGGCGGCACGCUGGACCCCACCUGACGCUGAGGCGCGAAAGCCAGGGGAGCGAACGGGA
This 253-nucleotide ribosomal RNA is filed under the name uncultured prokaryote. RNAcentral describes it as "partial 16S ribosomal RNA". It matches the Rfam family "Bacterial small subunit ribosomal RNA", at positions 525 to 777 of the family's 1533-position model. The record is from RNAcentral.